AAUCUCAUAGCUCAAUUGGUUGGAUACGCCGAAGGUUGAAGGUUCGAGUCCUUCUGGGAUUA
This 62-nucleotide transfer RNA is filed under the name Chryseobacterium balustinum. Its description in RNAcentral is "tRNA_Ile_GAT". It matches the Rfam family "tRNA". From Rfam's summary of the family: Transfer RNA (tRNA) molecules are approximately 80 nucleotides in length. Their secondary structure includes four short double-helical elements and three loops (D, anti-codon, and T loops). Lineage: Bacteria; Pseudomonadati; Bacteroidota; Flavobacteriia; Flavobacteriales; Weeksellaceae. The record is from RNAcentral.